AGAGUUUGAUCCUGGCUCAGGAUGAACGCUGGCGGCGUGCCUAAUGCAUGCAAGUCGAACGGUCCUGUUGGCUUCGGCCUUCAGGGUAGUGGCGAACGGCUGAGUAACACAAAGGUAACCUGCCCUAAAGUGGGGAACAACUCCGAGAAAUCGGAGCUAAUACCGCAUGACGUCUUCAUAUGCUUUGUGAAGACGAAAGGCUUCGGCCGCUAAAGGAGGGGCCUUUGGCCUAUCAGGUAGUUGGUGGGGUAACGGCCUACCAAGCCGAAGACGGGUAGCUGGUCUGAGAGGAUGAUCAGCCAGACGGGGAAUGAGAGACGGCCCUGACUCCUACGGGAGGCAGCAGCAGGGGAUAUUGCGCAAUGGGCGAAAGCCUGACGCAGCGACGCCGCGUGGGGGAAGAAGGCCUUCGGGUUGUGAACCCCUUUUCUUGGUGAAGAGAAAGGACGGUAACCAAGGAAUAAGCCUCGGCUAAAUACGUGCCAGCAGCCGCGGUAAUACGUAUGAGGCGAGCGUUAUCCGGAAUUACUGGGCGUAAAAGGGCGUGUAGGCGGCCUUUUAAGUUGGCGGUGAAAGCUCCCGGCUCAACCGGGAGAGGUCUGCCAAUACUGAAGGGCUAGAGGACAGCAGAGGAAGGUGGAACUCCCGGUGUAGCGGUGACAUGCGUAGAUAUCGGGAGGAACACCAGUGGCGAAGGCGGCCUUCAGGGCUGUGCCUGACGCUGAGGCGCGAAAGCGUGGGGAGCGAAGCGGAUUAGAUACCCGCGUAGUCCACGCCGUAAACGGUGGAUACUAGGUAUAGGGAGUAUCGACCCUCUCUGUGCCGAAGCUAACGCUUUAAGUAUCCCGCCUGGGAACUACGGUCGCAAGACUAAAACUCAAAGGAAUUGACGGGGGCCCGCACAAGCAGCGGAGCGUGUGGUUUAAUUCGAUGCUACGCGAAGAACCUUACCAAGGCUUGACAUGCCGGUAGUAGGAGCCCGAAAGGGUGACGACCUGCCUUCGGGCAGGAGCCAGCACAGGUGCUACAUGGCUGUCGUCAGCUCGUGCCGUGAGGUGUUGGGUUAAGUCCUAUAACGAGCGCAACCCUUGCCCUGUGUUGUUUUCUCACAGGGGACUGCUCAGGGAAUCUGAGAGGAAGGUGAGGAUGACGUCAAGUCAGCAUGGCCCUUAUGCCUUGGGCGACACACACGCUACAAUGGGUGGUACAAAGAGUUGCCAAGGAGCGAUCCGGAGCUAAUCUCAAAAAGCCAUCCUCAGUUCGGAUUGCAGGCUGAAACUCGCCUGCAUGAAGUUGGAGUUGCUAGUAACCGCAGGUCAGCACACUGCGGUGAAUACGUUCUCGGGCCUUGUACACACCGCCCGUCACGUCAUGAAAGUUGGUAAUACCUGAAGUCGAUGCGCCAACUCGUAAGAGAGGCAGUCGCCGAGGGUGGGACCAGUGAUUGGGACGAAGUCGUAACAAGGUAACC
Molecule: ribosomal RNA, 1471 nt
Filed under: uncultured bacterium
Lineage: Bacteria
Description: 16S ribosomal RNA
Rfam family: Bacterial small subunit ribosomal RNA
Source: RNAcentral